Molecule: ribosomal RNA, 407 nt
Filed under: uncultured bacterium
Lineage: Bacteria
Description: bacterial SSU rRNA
Rfam family: Bacterial small subunit ribosomal RNA
Source: RNAcentral
UGGGGAAUAUUGGGCAAUGGGGGAAACCCUGACCCAGCAACGCCGCGUGAGGGAAGAAGGCUUUCGGGUUGUAAACCUCUGUCCUUGGGGACGAAGGAAGUGACGGUACCCAAGGAGGAAGCUCCGGCUAACUACGUGCCAGCAGCCGCGGUAAUACGUAGGGAGCAAGCGUUGUCCGGAAUUACUGGGCGUAAAGGGUGCGUAGGCGGCCUGGUAAGUCAGAUGUGAAAUACCCGUGCUUAACAUGGGGGGUGCAUCUGAUACUGUCAGGCUUGAGUGCAGGAGAGGAAAGCGGAAUUCCUAGUGUAGCGGUGAAAUGCAUAGAUAUUAGGAGGAACACCAGUGGCGAAGGCGGCUUUCUGGACUGUAACUGACGCUGAGGCACGAAAGCGUGGGGAGCAAACAGG